UGAAAAAACUCAUGAAAUCAAUCUCAAAUCACGUUCUCUCCAUCUGUCUCUCACUGUUCCUUUUCAUUGAUAUCGUUCGUCGUCUUCGGCUCUAACGGUUGUCGUCGUCAUCUCACUCAAUCGCAAAUCUCUUUUUCCUCAGUUGCGAAUCUCUUCUCCUUCGUCUCCAUCAUAAUUCAAAGCAUCCGAAGAUUCUUUUCCAGGAGGCAACUAUCACGAAUCUCCAUGCGAAUCAGAUUCCUUAAAUUUGCGAUCUUUUUUUUUAUCUAUGUUACUCUAGGUUUGGAUGGGUUGGUUCGAUUUGUUAUCAGCGACGGAGAUGACAGUCAAUCCACCAACAACGACGAACGAUAUCGACAGAGAUGACAACCAAUCCACCGAGGAAGAAGCGAUUCGCGACCGAGGGAGACGAAGCAGAUGUCGAUGAUAGUCAGGGCCGACAACAACGAACGAUAUCGGCGAAGAGGACCCAUGAGAGAGAGAAUGUAUUUUUUUAUAUCAGUUUCGUAUGAGUUUUUCAAUUUGGGGAUUUUUGUUGGUUUAUGAUUUUUGAUCGGUUUAUUGAUUUUAAACCGGUUUGGUUCAAUUAAAAUUUUAAUUAUUUAAAUUGGUUUGAUGAUUGGAUGUUGA
Molecule: long non-coding RNA, 630 nt
Organism: Tarenaya hassleriana
Lineage: Eukaryota; Viridiplantae; Streptophyta; Magnoliopsida; Brassicales; Cleomaceae
Exons: 2
Source: RefSeq, a predicted model, not a curated record